Molecule: ribosomal RNA, 496 nt
Filed under: uncultured bacterium
Lineage: Bacteria
Description: partial 16S ribosomal RNA
Rfam family: Bacterial small subunit ribosomal RNA
Source: RNAcentral
GAUGAACGCUGGCGGCGUGCCUAAUACAUGCAAGUCGAGCGAACAGACGAGGAGCUUGCUCCUCUGACGUUAGCGGCGGACGGGUGAGUAACACGUGGAUAACCUACCUAUAAGACUGGGAUAACUUCGGGAAACCGGAGCUAAUACCGGAUAAUAUAUUGAACCGCAUGGUUCAAUAGUGAAAGACGGUUUUGCUGUCACUUAUAGAUGGAUCCGCGCCGCAUUAGCUAGUUGGUAAGGUAACGGCUUACCAAGGCAACGAUGCGUAGCCGACCUGAGAGGGGGGUCGGCCCAACAGGAAAGGAGAACCGGUCCAGGCCCCCAGGGGAGGAAGCAGUGGGAAAUUUUCCGCAAGGGGCGAAAGCCUGACGGAGCAACGCCGGGGGAGUGAUGAAGUGCUUCGGAUCGUAAAACCUUGUUAUUAGGGAAAAAAAAAUGUGUAAGUAACUAUGCACGUUUUGACGGUACCAAAUCAAAAAGCCACGGCAAACUACGG